AGAGCGAACGUUAGCGGCGGGCCUAACACAUGCAAGUCGCACGAGAAAGUGGCUUCGGCCAUCAGUAAAGUGGCGGACGGGUGAGUAACACGUGGGUAAUCUGCCUCUCAAUGGGGGAUAACAGUCCGAAAGGAUUGCUAAUACCGCAUACGUCCCUCGACACCACGGUGAUGAGGGGGAAAGCCGGCCACUCCAUGGAAGCUGGCGUUGAGAGAGGAGCCCGCGGCCCAUCAGCUAGUUGGCGAGGUAAUGGCUCACCAAGGCUUAGACGGGUAGC
Molecule: ribosomal RNA, 277 nt
Filed under: uncultured bacterium
Lineage: Bacteria
Description: partial small subunit ribosomal RNA
Rfam family: Bacterial small subunit ribosomal RNA
Source: RNAcentral